Anopheles funestus (African malaria mosquito) is the source of this 7844-nucleotide long non-coding RNA. RefSeq lists it as uncharacterized. The transcript is spliced from 7 exons. The record is from RefSeq and is a predicted model, not a curated record. Lineage: Eukaryota; Metazoa; Arthropoda; Insecta; Diptera; Culicidae.
CUGUCUUGGCUAAGGUGUCGUGGCUAAGGUGUCUUGGCUAAGGUGUCUUGGCUAAUGUGUCUUGGCUAAUGUGUCUUUAAUAAGGUGUCUUGGCUAAUGUGUCUUGGCUAAGGUGUCUUGGCUAAGGUGUCAUGGCUAAGGUGUCUUGGCUAAGGUGUCUUGGCUAAGGUGUCUUGGCUAAUGUGUCUUGGCUAAGGUGUCUUGGCUAAUGUGUCUUGGCUAAGGUGUCUUGGCUAAGGUGUCUUGGCUAAUGUGUCUUGGCUAAGGUGUCUUGGCUAAGGUGUCUUGGCUAAUGUGUCUUGGCUAAGGUGUCUUGGCUAAGGUGUCUUGGCUAAGGUGUCUUGACUAAUGUGUCUUGGCUAAUGUGUCUUGGCUAAUGUGUCUCGGCUAAGGUGUCUUGGCUAAUGUGUCUUGGCUAAUGUGUCUUGGCUAAGGUGUCUUGGCUAAGGUGUCUUGGCUAAGGUGUCUCGGCUAAUGUGUCUUGGCUAAUGUGUCUUUGCUAAUGUGUCUUGGCUAAGGUGUCUUGGCUAAGGUGUCUUCGCUAAUGUGUCUUGGCUAAGGUGUCUUGGCUAAUGUGUCUUGGCUAAGGUGUCUUGGCUAAUGUGUCUUGGCUAAUGUGUCUUGGCUAAUGUGUCUUGGCUAAUGUGUCUUGGCUAAGGUGUCUUGGCUAAUGUGUCUUGGCGAAUGUGUCUUGGCUAAUGUGUCUUGGCUAAGGUGUCUUCGCUAAGGUGUCUUCGCUAAUGUGUCUUGGCUAAGGUGUCUUGGCUAAGGUGUCUUUGCUAAUGUGUCUUGGCUAAUGUGUCUUGGCUAAGGUGUCUUGGCUAAGGUGUCUUGGCUAAUGUGUCUUGGCUAAUGUGUCUUGGCUAAUGUGUCUUGGAUAAGGUGUCUUGGCUAAUGUGUCUCGGCUAAUGUGUCUUGGCUAAGGUGUCUUGGCUAAUGUGUCUUGACUAAUGUGUCUUGGCUAAUGUGUCUUGGCUAAAGUGUCUCGGCUAAGGUGUCUUGGCUAAUGUGUCUCGGCUAAGGUGUCUUGGCUAAUGUGUCUUGGCUAAUGUGUCUUGGCUAAGGUGUCUUGGCUAAGGUGUCUUGGCUAAGGUGUCUCGGCUAAUGUGUCUUGGCUAAUGUGUCUUGGCUAAGGUGUCUUGGCUAAGGUGUCUUCGCUAAUGUGUCUUGGCUAAUGUGUCUUGGCUAAGGUGUCUUGGCUAAUGUGUCUUGGCUAAUGUGUCUUGGCUAAUGUGUCUUGGCUAAGGUGUCUUGGCUAAUGUGUCUUGGCUAAGGUGUCUUGGCUAAUGUGUCUUGGCUAAGGUGUCUUGGCUAAUGUGUCUUGGCUAAUGUGUCUUGGCUAAUGUGUCUUGGCUAAUGUGUCUUGGCUAAUGUGUCUUGGCUAAUGUGUCUUGGCUAAUGUGUCUUGGCUAAUGUGUCUUGGCUAAGGUGUCUUGGCUAAUGUGUCUUGGCUAAGGUGUCUUGGCUAAGGUGUCUUGGCUAAGGUGUCUCGGCUAAUGUGUCUUGGCCAAUGUGUCUUGGCUAAUGUGUCUUGGCUAAGGUGUCUUGGCUAAUGUGUCUUAUCUAAUGUGUCUUGGCUAAGGUGUCUUGGCUAAUGUGUCUUGGCUAAUGUGUCUUGGCUAAGGUGUCUUGGCUAAUGUGUCUUGGCUAAGGUGUCUUGGCUAAGGUGUCUUGGCUAAUGUGUCUUGGCUAAGGUGUCUUGGCUAAUGUGUCUUAGCUAAGGUGUCUUGGCUAAGGUGUCUUGGCUAAUGUGUCUUGGCUAAGGUGUCUUGGCUAAGGUGUCUUGGCUAAGGUGUCUUGGCUAAUGUGUCUUGGCUAAUGUGUCUUGGCUAAUGUGUCUUGGCUAAGGUGUCUUGGCUAAUGUGUCUUGGCUAAUGUGUCUUGGCUAAGGUGUCUUGGCUAAUGUGUCUUGGCUAAGGUGUCUUGGCUAAGGUGUCUUGGCUAAUGUGUCUUGGCUAAGGUGUCUUGGCUAAGGUGUCUUGGCUAAGGUGUCUUGGCUAGGGUGUCUUGGCUAAGGUGUCUUGGCUAAGGUGUCUUGGCUAAGGUGUCUUGGCUAAGGUGUCUUGGCUAAUGUGUCUUGGCUAAUGUGUCUUGGCUAAUGUGUCUCGGCUAAGGUGUCUCGGCUAAUGUGUCUUGGCUAAUGUGUCUUGGCUAAGGUGUCUUGGCUAAGGUGUCUUGGCUAAGGUGUCUCGGCUAAUGUGUCUUGGCUAAUGUGUCUUGGCUAAGGUGUCUUGGCUAAUGUGUCUUGGCUAAUGUGUCUUGGCUAAGGUGUCUUGGCUAAGGUGUCUUGGCUAAGGUGUCUUGGCUAAUGUGUCUUGGCUAAUGUGUCUCGGCUAAGGUGUCUCGGCUAAUGUGUCUUGGCUAAUGUGUCUUGGCUAAGGUGUCUUGGCUAAGGUGUCUUGGCUAAGGUGUCUCGGCUAAUGUGUCUUGGCUAAUGUGUCUUGGCUAAUGUGUCUUGGCUAAGGUGUCUUGGCUAAGGUGUCUCGGCUAAUGUGUCUUGGCUAAUGUGUCUUGGCUAAGGUGUCUUGGCUAAGGUGUCUUGGCUAAGGUGUCUUGGCUAAUGUGUCUUGGCUAAUGUGUCUUGGCUAAUGUGUCUUGGCUAAGGUGUCUUGGCUAAUGUGUCUUGGCUAAUGUGUCUUGGCUAAGGUGUCUUGGCUAAUGUGUCUUGGCUAAGGUGUCUUGGCUAAGGUGUCUUGGCUAAGGUGUCUUGGCUAAGGUGUCUUGGCUAAGGUGUCUUGGCUAAGGUGUCUUGGCUAAUGUGUCUUGGCUAAUGUGUCUUGGCUAAGGUGUCUUGGCUAAGGUGUCUUGGCUAAGGUGUCUUGGCUAAUGUGUCUUGGCUAAUGUGUCUUGGCUAAUGUGUCUCGGCUAAGGUGUCUCGGCUAAUGUGUCUUGGCUAAUGUUUCUUGGCUAAGGUGUCUUGGCUAAGGUGUCUUGGCUAAGGUGUCUCGGCUAAUGUGUCUUGGCUAAUGUGUCUUGGCUAAUGUGUCUUGGCUAAGGUGUCUUGGCUAAGGUGUCUCGGCUAAUGUGUCUUGGCUAAUGUGUCUUGGCUAAGGUGUCUUGGCUAAUGUGUCUUGGCUAAGGUGUCUUGGCUAAGGUGUCUUGGCUAAGGUGUCUUGGCUAAGGUGUCUUGGCUAAUGUGUCUUGGCUAAUGUGUCUUGGCUAAGGUGUCUUGGCUAAUGUGUCUUGGCUAAGGUGUCUUGACUAAUGUGUCUUGGCUAAUGUGUCUUGGCUAAUGUGUCUUGGCUAAGGUGUCUUGGCUAAUGUGUCUUGGCUAAGGUGUCUUGGCUAAUGUGUCUUGGCUAAGGUGUCUUGGCUAAGGUGUCUUGGCUAAGGUGUCUUGGCUAAUGUGUCUUGGCUAAUGUGUCUUGGCUAAGGUGUCUUGGCUAAGGUGUCUUGGCUAAGGUGUCUUGGCUAAUGUGUCUUGGCUAAUGUGUCUUGGCUAAUGUGUCUUGGCUAAGGUGUCUUGGCUAAUGUGUCUUGGCUAAUGUGUCUUGGCUAAGGUGUCUUGGCUAAGGUGUCUUGGCUAAGGUGUCUCGGCUAAUGUGUCUUGGCUAAUGUGUCUUGGCUAAGGUGUCUUCGCUAAUGUGUCUCGGCUAAGGUGUCUUGGCUAAUGUGUCUUGGCUAAGGUGUCUUGGCUAAUGUGUCUUGGCUAAGGUGUCUUGGCUAAAGUGUCUUGGCUAAUGUGUCUUGGCUAAUGUGUCUUGGCUAAGGUGUCUUGGCUAAGGUGUCAUGGCUAAUGUGUCUUGGCUAAUGUGUCUUGGCUAAUGUGUCUUGGCUAAUGUGUCUUGGCUAAGGUGUCUUGGCUAAUGUGUCUUGGCUAAUGUGUCUUGGCUAAGGUGUCUUGGCUAAUGUGUCUUGGCUAAUGUGUCUUGGCUAAUGUGUCUUGGCUAAGGUGUCUUGGCUAAUGUGUCUUGGCUAAGGUGUCUUGGCUAAUGUGUCUUGGCUAAGGUGUCUUGGCUAAUGUGUCUUGGCUAAGGUGUCUUCGCUAAGGUGUCUUGGCUAAUGUGUCUUGGCUAAGGUGUCUUGGCUAAGGUGUCUUGGCUAAGGUGUCUUGGCUAAGGUGUCUUGGCUAAUGUGUCUUGGCUAAGGUGUCUUCGCUAAUGUGUCUUGGCUAAAGUGUCUUGGCUAAUGUGUCUUGGCUUAGGUGUCUUGGCUAAUGUGUCUUGGCUAAGGUGUCUUGGCUAAGGUGUCUUGGCUAAGGGGUCUUGGCUAAGGUGUCUUGGCUAAUGUGUCUUGGCUAAGGUGUCUUGGCUAAUGUGUCUUGGCUAAGGUGUCUUGGCUAAGGUGUCUUGGCUAAGGUGUCUUGGCUAAUGUGUCUUGGCUAAGGUGUCUUGGCUAAUGUGUCUUGGCUAAUGUGUCUUGGCUAAGGUGUCUUGGCUAAUGUGUCUUGGCUAAGGUGUCUUGGCUAAGGUGUCUCGGCUAAUGUGUCUCGGCUAAUGUGUCUUGGCUAAGGUGUCUUGGCUAAGGUGUCUUGGCUAAUGUGUCUUUUCUAAGGUGUCUUGGCUAAUGUAUCUUGGCUAAUGUGUCUUGGCUAAUGUGUCUUGGCUAAGGUGUCUUGGCUAAGGUGUCUUGGCUAAUGUGUCUUAGCUAAGGUGUCUUGGCUAAGGUGUCUUGGCUAAUGUGUCUUGGCUAAGGUGUCUUGGCUAAGGUGUCUUGGCUAAGGUGUCUCGGCUAAUGUGUCUUGGCUAAUGUGUCUUGGCUAAGGUGUCUUGGCUAAGGUGUCUUGGCUAAUGUGUCUUGGCUAAUGUGUCUUGGCUAAGGUGUCUUGGGUAAUGUGUCUUGGCUAAGGUGUCUUGGCUAAUGUGUCUCGGCUAAUGUGUCUUGGCUAAGGUGUCUUGGCUAAGGUGUCUUGGCUGAGGUGUCUUGGCUAAGGUGUCUCGGCUAAUGUGUCUUGGCUAAUGUGUCUUGGCUAAGGUGUCUUGGCUAAUGUGUCUUGGCUAAGGUGUCUUGGCUAAUAUGUCUUGGCUAAUGUGUCUUGGCUAAGGUGUCUUGGCUAAGGUGUCUUGGCUAAGGUGUCUUGGCUAAGGUGUCUCGGCUAAUGUGUCUUGGCUAAUGUGUCUUGGCUAAGGUGUCUUGGCUAAUGUGUCUUGGCUAAUGUGUCUUGGCUAAGGUGUCUUGGCUAAUGUGUCUUGGCUAAUGUGUCUUGGCUAAUGUGUCUUGGCUAAUGUGUCUUGGCUAAGGUGUCUUGGCUAAGGUGUCUUGGCUAAUGUGUCUUGGCUAAUGUGUCUUGGCUAAUGUGUCUUGGCUAAGGUGUCUUGGCUAAGGUGUCUUGGCUAAGGUGUCUUGGCUAAUGUGUCUUGGCUAAUGUGUCUUGGCUAAGGUGUCUUGGCUAAGGUGUCUUGGCUAAGGUGUCUUGGCUAAGGUGUCUUGGCUAAGGUGUCUUGGCUAAGGUGUCUUGGCUAAUGUGUCUUGGCUAAUGUGUCUUGGCUAAGGUGUCUUGGCUAAGGUGUAUUGGCUAAGGUGUCUUGGCUAAGGUGUCUUGGCUAAGGUGUCUUCGCUAAUGUGUCUUGGCUAAGGUGUCUUGGCUAAUGUGUCUUGGCUAAGGUGUCUUGGCUAAUGUGUCUUGGCUAAGGUGUCUUGGCUAAGGUGUCUUGGCUAAUGUGUCUUGGCUAAGGUGUCUUGGCUAAGGUGUCUUGGCUAAGGUGUCUUGGCUAAUGUGUCUUGGCUAAGGUGUCUUGGCUAAUGUGUCUUGGCUAAGGUGUCUUGGCUAAUGUGUCUUGGCUAAGGUGUCUUGGCUAAGGUGUCUUGGCUAAUGUGUCUCGGCUAAUGUGUCUUGGCUAAUGUGUCUUGGCUAAGGUGUCUUGGCUAAUGUGUCUUGGCUAAUGUGUCUUGGCUAAGGUGUCUUGGCUAAUGUGUCUUGGCUAAUGUGUCUUGGCUAAGGUGUCUUGGCUAAUGUGUCUUGGCUAAUGUGUCUUGGCUAAGGUGUCUUGGCUAAUGUGUCUUGGCUAAUGUGUCUUGGCUAAUGUGUCUUGGCUAAGGUGUCUUGGCUAAGGUGUCUUGGCUAAGGUGUCUUGGCUAAUGUGUCUUGGCUAUUGUGUCUUGGCUAAGGUGUCUUGGCUAAUGUGUCUUGGCUAAGAUGUCUUGGCUAAUGUGUCUUGGCUAAUGUGUCUUGGCUAAUGUGUCUUGGCUAAUGUGUCUUGGCUAAGGUGUCUUGGCUAAGGUGUCAUGGCUAAUGUGUCUUGGCUAAUGUGUCUUGGCUAAUGUGUCUUGGCUAAGGUGUCUUGGCUAAGGUGUCUUGGCUAAGGUGUCUCGGCUAAUGUGUCUUGGCUAAUGUGUCUUGGCUAAUGUGUCUUUGCUAAUGUGUCUUGGCUAAUGUGUCUUGGCUAAGGUGUCUUGGCUAAUGUGUCUCGGCUAAUGUGUCUUGGCUAAUGUGUCUUGGCUAAUGUGUCUUGGCUAAGGUGUCUUGGCUAAUGUGUCUUGGCUAAGGUGUCUUGGCUAAGGUGUCUUGGCUAAGGUGUCUUGGCUAAUGUGUCUUGGCUAAGGUGUCUUGGCUAAUGUGUCUUGGCUAAGGUGUCUUCGCUAAGGUGUCUUGGCUAAUGUGUCUCGGCUAAGGUGUAUUGGCUAAGGUGUCUUGGCUAAGGUGUCUUGGCUAAGGUGUCUUGGCUAAUGUGUCUUGGCUAAGGUGUCUUGGCUAAUGUGUCUUGGCUAAGGUGUCUUGGCUAAGGUGUCUUGGCUAAUGUGUCUUGGCUAAGGUGUCUUGGCUAAGGUGUCUUGGCUAAUGUGUCUUGGCUAAUGUGUCUUGGCUAAGGUGUCUUGGCUAAGGUGUCUUGGCUAAUGUGUCUUGGCUAAGGUGUCUUGGCUAAUGUGUCUUGGCUAAGGUGUCUUGGCUAAUGUGUCUUGGCUAAUGUGUCUUGGCUAAUGUGUCUUGGCUAAGGUGUCUUGGCUAAGGUGUCUUGGCUAAUGUGUCUUGGCUAAUGUGUCUUGGCUAAUGUGUCUUGGCUAAGGUGUCUUGGCUAAGGUGUCUUGGCUAAUGUGUCUUGGCUAAUGUGUCUUGGCUAAUGUGUCUUGGCUAAGGUGUCUUGGCUAAGGUGUCUUGGCUAAGGUGUCUUGGCUAAGGUGUCUUGGCUAAUGUGUCUUGGCUAAGGUGUCUUGGCUAAUGUGUCUUGGCUAAUGUGUCUUGGCUAAGGUGUCUUGGCUAAGGUGUAUUGGCUAAGGUGUCUUGGCUAAGGUGUCUUGGCUAAGGUGUCUUCGCUAAUGUGUCUUGGCUAAGGUGUCUUGGCUAAUGUGUCUUGGCUAAGGUGUCUUGGCUAAUGUGUCUUGGCUAAGGUGUCUUGGCUAAGGUGUCUUGGCUAAUGUGUCUUGGCUAAGGUGUCUUGGCUAAGGUGUCUUGGCUAAGGUGUCUUGGCUAAUGUGUCUUGGCUAAGGUGUCUUGGCUAAUGUGUCUCGGCUAAUGUGUCUUGGCUAAUGUGUCUUGGCUAAGGUGUCUUGGCUAAGGUGUCUUGGCUAAUGUGUCUUGGCUAAUGUGUCUUGGCUAAUGUGUCUUGGCUAAGGUGUCUUGGCUAAUGUGUCUUGGCUAAGGUGUCUUGGCUAAGGUGUCUUGGCUAAUGUGUCUCGGCUAAUGUGUCUUGGCUAAUGUGUCUUGGCUAAGGUGUCUUGGCUAAUGUGUCUUGGCUAAUGUGUCUUGGCUAAGGUGUCUUGGCUAAUGUGUCUUGGCUAAUAUGUCUUGGCUAAGGUGUCUUGGCUAAUGUGUCUUGGCUAAUGUGUCUUGGCUAAGGUGUCUUGGCUAAUGUGUCUUGGCUAAUGUGUCUUGGCUAAUGUGUCUUGGCUAAGGUGUCUUGGCUAAGGUGUCUUGGCUAAGGUGUCUUGGCUAAUGUGUCUUGGUUAUUGUGUCUUGGCUAAGGUGU